This 301-nucleotide ribosomal RNA is filed under the name uncultured bacterium. RNAcentral describes it as "partial 16S ribosomal RNA". It matches the Rfam family "Bacterial small subunit ribosomal RNA", at positions 509 to 807 of the family's 1533-position model. The record is from RNAcentral.
CAGCCGCCGCGGUAAUACGAAGGGGGCUAGCGUUGCUCGGGAUGACUGGGCGUAAAGGGCGCGUAGGCGGCGGCCAAAGUCAGGCGUGAAAUUCCCGGGCUCAACCUGGGGGCUGCGUUUGAUACUUGGUUGCUUGAGUGGGGAAGAGGGUCGUGGAAUACCCAGUGUAGAGGUGAAAUUCGUAGAUAUUGGGAAGAACACCGGUGGCGAAGGCGGCGACCUGGUCCUUUACUGACGCUGAGGCGCGAAAGCGUGGGGAGCAAACAGGAUUAGAUACCCCCGUAGUCCCUGUCUCUUAUAC